UUCUAUGUUGGAAGUUCAUCUAAGUUUUAGGUUUCACGCGGAUCACUAAUGGUAGUGUCUUAAGCAUUGAUACUCACUAAAUGGAUGGCAAAGAUUUGUUUAAGGAAGCUGGAGAAACUCAAUAAACACAUUUAUAUUUCCCCGUGACCCCGAGUGACUUUUCACCAUGGCUGGAAGUUCCAACCGUGGUAAAAGUGUCUUAAAAAUAAAUAAAAACAAAAAUUGUAGGUGCUAGGAUUCGAA
This 243-nucleotide long non-coding RNA is filed under the name Lathyrus oleraceus (garden pea). Its description in RNAcentral is "Pisum sativum (pea) long non-coding RNA (PSAT_LNC022101)". The record is from RNAcentral. Lineage: Eukaryota; Viridiplantae; Streptophyta; Magnoliopsida; Fabales; Fabaceae.